RNAcentral lists this ribosomal RNA (258 nucleotides) under uncultured bacterium. RNAcentral describes it as "partial 16S ribosomal RNA". It matches the Rfam family "Bacterial small subunit ribosomal RNA", at positions 95 to 353 of the family's 1533-position model. The record is from RNAcentral.
GCGGCGGACGGGUGAGUAAUGUCUGGGAAACUGCCUGAUGGAGGGGGAUAACUACUGGAAACGGUAGCUAAUACCGCAUAACGUCGCAAGACCAAAGAGGGGGACCUUCGGGCCUCUUGCCAUCGGAUGUGCCCAGAUGGGAUUAGCUAGUAGGUGGGGUAACGGCUCACCUAGGCGACGAUCCCUAGCUGGUCUGAGAGGAUGACCAGCCACACUGGAACUGAGACACGGUCCAAACUCCUACGGGAAGGCAGCAUG